AUAUCUCUGAUUGUAUUCGUCUGAAAGAAGAUAGUCAUAUACACCUAGGAUGGCUUGAGGCGAGCAGCUAUGCUCUCAAAAGAGGAAAUGAAAAAGAUCAAUGUUGGAGAGUUUAAUGAGGAUAUAAGAUGUCUCUGGAGGCAGUUUUUCUCCCUAUGAAUUUUAAGACCGUUCCAGGCCCAGUCCAAUGUCAGGCAGAUUUGCAUUUGAUUUAUAGUCACUGUCACUGAGAUUUUGACAGAUGAGUAAAACCAAAAUAUUCCCAUCUUUUGCUCUAUUCACCCGGGAACAUAAACACAACCAUAAAUUUUUAGCUUGCCCUUGCUUUUAUUAAUAAGUUUCAGAGGAUAAACCACAGGACAGUAUUACAUUUGAAAGAAGCAUUAUUGCACUGCUGAUGAUGAAUCUUCCCUUAUGGCACACUUUGAGACAGGAAUAAAUUACACACUUCAGUAUUAAACAGAAAUAAAAAAAAUAAAAAAAAAAUCUUUGUGUUAAAUUACAUGUACUACAUGCUGAGAGACUGAACUUAGUUCUGAACCAUGUGCACCUUUCUUUUUUUUAUUUAUUUAUUUAUUUUUUAUGGACCUGUGGACAUAUAAAUAAGAAUGAAGAAAUCACUCACCACAUCCAGUGCUCUCCAAGAACAGCUUGAGAAAGCAAUAAACUUCAACAUCAAUA
Megalobrama amblycephala (Wuchang bream) is the source of this 681-nucleotide long non-coding RNA. RefSeq lists it as uncharacterized. The record is from RefSeq and is a predicted model, not a curated record. NCBI's taxonomy places the organism in Eukaryota, Metazoa, Chordata, Actinopteri, Cypriniformes, Xenocyprididae. The transcript is spliced from 2 exons.